RNAcentral lists this non-coding RNA (184 nucleotides) under Acidobacteriota bacterium. Its description in RNAcentral is "Acidobacteria bacterium (bioreactor metagenome) 6S RNA". It matches the Rfam family "6S / SsrS RNA". Rfam says of the family: E. coli 6S RNA was the first non coding RNA to be sequenced, but its function was unknown until recently. Lineage: Bacteria; Pseudomonadati; Acidobacteriota. The record is from RNAcentral.
GGUUCCCUGCGUUGUGCGUGAUGGUGUUCGGAGGCUCGCUUGAGCCAAUGUUUCACCUAAGUGAGUCGCGACGUUGCGUGGUGCGCAUACCUCUGUUCGAGGAAGCCUGAAGCGCAACUUCUCCAGCGGCUCCACCUGCCCAGCAGGUUCAUGCGACCUCCCCACACGGCAACGCGGGGAACCU